AAAAUCCGUCGAUUUCUAAAAUCAUGAGGGUUCAAGUCCCUCUAUCCCC
RNAcentral lists this transfer RNA (49 nucleotides) under Libinhania acicularis. Its description in RNAcentral is "partial tRNA-Leu". Lineage: Eukaryota; Viridiplantae; Streptophyta; Magnoliopsida; Asterales; Asteraceae. The record is from RNAcentral.